UUAAGCGACUAAGCGUACACGGUGGAUGCCCUGGCAGUCAGAGGCGAUGAAGGACGUGCUAAUCUGCGAAAAGCGUCGGUAAGGUGAUAUGAACCGUUAUAACCGGCGAUGUCCGAAUGGGGAAACCCAGUGUGAUUCGUCACACUAUCGUUAACUGAAUACAUAGGUUAACGAGGCGAACCGGGGGAACUGAAACAUCUAAGUACCCCGAGGAAAAGAAAUCAACCGAGAUUCCCCCAGUAGCGGCGAGCGAACGGGGAGCAGCCCAGAGUCUGAAUCAGCUUGUGUGUUAGUGGAACGGUCUGGAAAGUCCGACGGUACAGGGUGAUAGUCCCGUACACCAAAAUGCACAGGUUGUGAACUCGAAGAGUAGGGCGGGACACGUGGUAUCCUGUCUGAAUAUGGGGGGACCAUCCUCCAAGGCUAAAUACUCCUGACUGACCGAUAGUGAACCAGUACCGUGAGGGAAAGGCGAAAAGAACCCCGGCGAGGGGAGUGAAAAAGAACCUGAAACCGUGUACGUACAAGCAGUGGGAGCACCUUCGGGUGUGACUGCGUACCUUUUGUAUAAUGGGUCAGCGACUUAUAUUCUGUAGCAAGGUUAACCGUAUAGGGGAGCCGCAGGGAAACCGAGUCUUAACUGGGCGUUAAGUUGCAGGGUAUAGACCCGAAACCCGGUGAUCUAGCCAUGGGCAGGUUGAAGGUUGGGUAACACUAACUGGAGGACCGAACCGACUAAUGUUGAAAAAUUAGCGGAUGACUUGUGGCUGGGGGUGAAAGGCCAAUCAAACCGGGAGAUAGCUGGUUCUCCCGAAAGCUAUUUAGGUAGCGCCUCGUGAACUCAUCUUCGGGGGUAGAGCACUGUUUCGGCUAGGGGGUCAUCCCGACUUACCAACCCGAUGCAAACUACGAAUACCGAAGAAUGUUAUCACGGGAGACACACGGCGGGUGCUAACGUCCGUCGUGAAGAGGGAAACAACCCAGACCGCCAGCUAAGGUCCCAAAGUCAUGGUUAAGUGGGAAACGAUGUGGGAAGGCACAGACAGCCAGGAUGUUGGCUUAGAAGCAGCCAUCAUUUAAAGAAAGCGUAAUAGCUCACUGGUCGAGUCGGCCUGCGCGGAAGAUGUAACGGGGCUAAACCAUGCACCGAAGCUGCGGCAGCGACACUAUGUGUUGUUGGGUAGGGGAGCGUUCUGUAAGCCUGCGAAGGUGACCUGUGAGGGUUGCUGGAGGUAUCAGAAGUGCGAAUGCUGACAUAAGUAACGAUAAAGCGGGUGAAAAGCCCGCUCGCCGGAAGACCAAGGGUUCCUGUCCAACGUUAAUCGGGGCAGGGUGAGUCGACCCCUAAGGCGAGGCCGAAAGGCGUAGUCGAUGGGAAACAGGUUAAUAUUCCUGUACUUGGUGUUACUGCGAAGGGGGGACGGAGAAGGCUAUGUUAGCCGGGCGACGGUUGUCCCGGUUUAAGCAUGUAGGCUGGUUGUCCAGGCAAAUCCGGAUAAUCAAGGCUGAGGUGUGAUGACGAGGCACUACGGUGCUGAAGUAACAAAUGCCCUGCUUCCAGGAAAAGCCUCUAAGCAUCAGGUAACAUUAAAUCGUACCCCAAACCGACACAGGUGGUCAGGUAGAGAAUACCAAGGCGCUUGAGAGAACUCGGGUGAAGGAACUAGGCAAAAUGGUGCCGUAACUUCGGGAGAAGGCACGCUGGUGUGUAGGUGAAGUCCCUGCGGAUGGAGCUGAGACCAGUCGAAGAUACCAGCUGGCUGCAACUGUUUAUUAAAAACACAGCACUGUGCAAACACGAAAGUGGACGUAUACGGUGUGACGCCUGCCCGGUGCCGGAAGGUUAAUUGAUGGGGUUAUCCGUAAGGAGAAGCUCUUGAUCGAAGCCCCGGUAAACGGCGGCCGUAACUAUAACGGUCCUAAGGUAGCGAAAUUCCUUGUCGGGUAAGUUCCGACCUGCACGAAUGGCGUAAUGAUGGCCAGGCUGUCUCCACCCGAGACUCAGUGAAAUUGAACUCGCUGUGAAGAUGCAGUGUACCCGCGGCAAGACGGAAAGACCCCGUGAACCUUUACUAUAGCUUGACACUGAACAUUGAGCCUUGAUGUGUAGGAUAGGUGGGAGGCUUUGAAGCGUGGACGCCAGUCUGCGUGGAGCCAACCUUGAAAUACCACCCUUUAAUGUUUGAUGUUCUAACGUUGGCCCCUUACCGGGGUUGCGGACAGUGUCUGGUGGGUAGUUUGACUGGGGCGGUCUCCUCCCAAAGCGUAACGGAGGAGCACGAAGGUUAGCUAAUCCUGGUCGGACAUCAGGAGGUUAGUGCAAUGGCAUAAGCUAGCUUGACUGCGAGCGUGACGGCGCGAGCAGGUGCGAAAGCAGGUCAUAGUGAUCCGGUGGUUCUGAAUGGAAGGGCCAUCGCUCAACGGAUAAAAGGUACUCCGGGGAUAACAGGCUGAUACCGCCCAAGAGUUCAUAUCGACGGCGGUGUUUGGCACCUCGAUGUCGGCUCAUCACAUCCUGGGGCUGAAGUAGGUCCCAAGGGUAUGGCUGUUCGCCAUUUAAAGUGGUACGCGAGCUGGGUUUAGAACGUCGUGAGACAGUUCGGUCCCUAUCUGCCGUGGGCGCUGGAGAAUUGAGGGGGGCUGCUCCUAGUACGAGAGGACCGGAGUGGACGCAUCACUGGUGUUCGGGUUGUCAUGCCAAUGGCACUGCCCGGUAGCUAAAUGCGGAAGAGAUAAGUGCUGAAAGCAUCUAAGCACGAAACUUGCCCCGAGAUGAGUUCUCCCUGAGACUUUAAGUCUCCUGAAGGAACGUUAAAGACGAUGACGUUGAUAGGCCGGGUGUGUAAGCGCAGCGAUGCGUUGAGCUAACCGGUACUAAUGAACCGUGAGGCUUAACCU
This 2898-nucleotide ribosomal RNA is filed under the name Klebsiella pneumoniae. Its description in RNAcentral is "bacterial LSU rRNA". It matches the Rfam family "Bacterial large subunit ribosomal RNA". The record is from RNAcentral. Lineage: Bacteria; Pseudomonadati; Pseudomonadota; Gammaproteobacteria; Enterobacterales; Enterobacteriaceae.